This is a long non-coding RNA of Siniperca chuatsi (mandarin fish), 399 nucleotides long. RefSeq lists it as uncharacterized. The transcript has 3 exons. Lineage: Eukaryota; Metazoa; Chordata; Actinopteri; Centrarchiformes; Sinipercidae. The record is from RefSeq and is a predicted model, not a curated record.
UUUCCUGUAUUUCCCUAGUGUAUUUGGAUUUGUUCUGUUUCCCUUGUCCUUGCCUGGAUUUUGGAUUUUGGACUUUGCCUGCACUGUUUCGGAUUUGUUUACCUCUGUUGAACUGCUUCUCUGGUUUUGACCCCUGCCCUCCUGACCAACCUGCCUUCUUGCCUUUGCUGAUGACUGCUGCAGCUCAGUCGCCUGGGAUGGGGAUCCACAGAGUAACCGUUAUCAACAUCUCCUCCAUUCUCAGCUCCAUUACAUAUAACUGGGGUCAAGGCAGCACUGAACAUGGUGACACAGUGUCUAGCUGCUGAUUUGGGGUCAGAUGGGAUCCUUGGUAUUUCUCUGCACCCUGGCUGGGUCAAGACUGACAUGGGAGGGCCUCAUGUAAGUAUUCUAUCAUUU